CUCACCAAGGCGACGAUCCCUAGCUGGUCUGAGAGGAUGACCAGCCACACUGGAACUGAGACACGGUCCAGACUCCUACGGGAGGCAGCAUG
This 92-nucleotide ribosomal RNA is filed under the name uncultured bacterium. RNAcentral's name for it is "partial 16S ribosomal RNA". It matches the Rfam family "Bacterial small subunit ribosomal RNA", at positions 264 to 353 of the family's 1533-position model. The record is from RNAcentral.